Molecule: transfer RNA, 77 nt
Filed under: Pseudoalteromonas haloplanktis
Lineage: Bacteria; Pseudomonadati; Pseudomonadota; Gammaproteobacteria; Alteromonadales; Pseudoalteromonadaceae
Also listed under: 156 other names
Description: tRNA-Met
Rfam family: tRNA
About the family: Transfer RNA (tRNA) molecules are approximately 80 nucleotides in length. Their secondary structure includes four short double-helical elements and three loops (D, anti-codon, and T loops).
Source: RNAcentral
CGCGGGAUGGAGCAGUCUGGUAGCUCGUCGGGCUCAUAACCCGAAGGUCGUUGGUUCAAAUCCGGCUCCCGCAACCA